CAAUUCUUUUUUGGUGCUCGAUCGUGACGGUUUGCUCGCGCUCUCCGCUGCGCCGCUCUUUCCGUUGCAUAUGUGUGCGGGCGUUAUUGUGCAUGUUUCCGGUGGCCAAAGCAAAGCGACAAACAAAAUUCAAAAGAAAGAAAAAAAAACACUCAAAUAAACUCACAAAGAAUUCCUUAUCGCCAAGGGGGCCAAUGUUCUAAGGUUCUUUCGCCUUGAGAACUUUGAGCUUCCUCUGGCAAAGGAGAUUAUAAUGUACAAAUAAUGUUGCAAUAACCAGUUGAAACCAAUGGAAUACCGAAUCUUGCUAAUUAGCAAGGACAUCUGUUCACAUCUUACCGGGCAGCAUUAGAUCCUUUUUAUAACUCUAAUACUGUCAGGUAAAGAUGUCGUCCGUGUCCUU
Molecule: unclassified non-coding RNA, 403 nt
Filed under: Drosophila melanogaster (fruit fly)
Lineage: Eukaryota; Metazoa; Arthropoda; Insecta; Diptera; Drosophilidae
Description: partial spliced pri-miR-8 transcript
Rfam family: mir-8/mir-141/mir-200 microRNA precursor family (bases 327-394)
Source: RNAcentral